UCUCUGCAAAGAAUAGUUCACAAAGCAUCAUAUUUAGUGUCCAAUAGCAAGGGUUUGCAUUUUUUAACUAAACACUGAUAAACUUUCAAAUUCAAGUUACACUCCAAGGGCAUUGGUUCGAUUUGAGGCUAACAAAAAAGUAGACCAUGGUUGACUUAGAUUUGCUGGGUUAAGAUCUAAAAAAUUGUAACAUCACAAUAUGAGUCUUGCAUGAGCAACAAGUCAACAAAUGAUCUGGUGAUGAAGCAAUCAGUAGGGGAAACUCUUGACACAAGAUACUGUCAGUCUUGAUGCAAUCAUGUACAGAUAAUUCCAUUCUUAGGGCAGCCAACAUGUGGUGCUGUCAGUCUUCAUGCAAUUCUUACAUAGGGGGUAACACUAUUUCUGUUAGCUCAUAUAAAGCACCAUGUGGUGUCCAGAAGAUGAGCUGCUAUCAGUUUAUAGCAAGUGCCCACACCUGUCCCUCUAAGGAUGGAUGUGUUCUCCAAUCAGAAUUUCACAGAUUUAGCAUGAAAACCAAGUAAAGUUAAUACAGGUCUUUAAUUAUUUUCUAUAUACGAAAUAUAACCAACAGACACUUGGACCAUGCUUCAUUAAUUACCUUGUCUUGGUUGAGUAUCAAAUACUAUACAUUCUGGGGGUACAAUAACAUGAGACUAAGCAGAGAUAAAAUCCUUAAAGGACUUUGAAAAAUACAAUAACAUGAGACUAAGCACGAUAACAUGAGACAAAGGAGAGGAAAAUAUGCAAUCUUUAAAGGAAUUUGAAACACUCUUGAUCUAGUGCUCUUGCCCAUUCUUCUGCACACAGAACCUAGUGUUUAUGUAUACACGAUACCCUGUGAAUUUGCUAGCAUGGAAUUCACAUUAUACAUAGAUGGAACAGUAACUAUGUCCACUUGAAUGCACAUAUCAAAAUAGGUUACUGGUUUAGAAAUUUGUUAGGGGAGUAUUGUGAUUUUUAAAUACUAUGUGCAUUUCUGCUACGAGCUAAUAAAUUCUCCAGUUAUUCCUUUUCCUCUUCUCCUAGAUGUAGUAAAAGCACCAGUUGAUAGCAGGAUGUCUAACAAAACAUAAAAGUUGAAACUUUCUCUAGUUUCGACCCUUCACACUCUGCCUCUACAAAGCGUUUAGUAGUUUGAUUUAAUUCUGUAAGCAUCAUCAUUACACCAAUUCAUACUGCAAGAUGUCUCGCACAGCAAAUGUAAUCAGCAACUAGCUUGUACUGUAUUCAGCAAGCAAUGAGACAUUAAGGUUUAGGUAAUACUCAUGUAUCAAUAAAACAGGCUCCAUGUUAGGCAGACUUGGAUCACAAGCUCACAGUGAACCAAGCUAGAGCAGCUUCUUUUUAGCCAAGUCUCCAUGGAUCAUCUUUCCCUUUGUUGCAGAAUUAAUAAAAGCAUCAAACCCAACCUUGCCCUUGAACAUUAAGCUACCCAAGAAAGCAACACAUGGCCAAGUGUGCACUCUUAUCAGUUUAAUAUUAGAAACUAGGCCAUUUCAAUUGACUCAAAUUUAAUUUCUGAAAUCCCUGUGAUCCAACUUUAGAAAAUUAUAAAAAUCAAGUGUCUGAGACUUUAGUUACAUCUGUUGCAAUGAUGUGUUUGAAAUCACCAUAUUCUUAGCAUUUAUGUUUUUUCAUGUCUACGAGCGUGUGCGCGCGUGUGAGUGUGAGUGUGAG
RNAcentral lists this long non-coding RNA (1680 nucleotides) under Populus trichocarpa (black cottonwood). RNAcentral's name for it is "long non-coding RNA (PTRI_LNC003538)". The record is from RNAcentral. Lineage: Eukaryota; Viridiplantae; Streptophyta; Magnoliopsida; Malpighiales; Salicaceae.